RNAcentral lists this ribosomal RNA (315 nucleotides) under Triticum aestivum (bread wheat). Its description in RNAcentral is "partial small subunit ribosomal RNA". The record is from RNAcentral. Lineage: Eukaryota; Viridiplantae; Streptophyta; Magnoliopsida; Poales; Poaceae.
AUGGGAUUCAGGGACCUCCAAUCCUUUAAUCUUGCGAUGCUCAUGAAACAAAGUUGGAGACUUAUUACUAAUCCAGACUCCCUUUCUGCGAGAGUUCUUAAGGCCAAGUAUUUUCCUAAUGGAACCCUUCAGCAGGCUACUCCAAAGAAUGGUUCUUCUUUCACCUGGCAGAGUAUACUAAAGGGACUUGAAACUUUUAAUCUUGGUUAUAUCUGGAGGAUUGGGACCGGCGAGAUGGUCAAUAUUUGGAAUGAUCCAUGGGUCCCAGCUAGUCCGAAUAGAAGAAUUAUCACUGCACACGCCAAACGAUUGUAA